RNAcentral lists this long non-coding RNA (408 nucleotides) under Nicotiana tabacum (common tobacco). RNAcentral describes it as "long non-coding RNA (NTAB_LNC017190)". Lineage: Eukaryota; Viridiplantae; Streptophyta; Magnoliopsida; Solanales; Solanaceae. The record is from RNAcentral.
ACCCCAAUCGCCUAAAAUUAUUCUUGGCCAUCAAAUACGACCUAAGGAACCAUAGUCACCGCCUCGCUAUGGCCGUUCUUCAUUGGUUUGCGUUUUACGGCCAAAAAAUAGAAUUUCGCCCGAUUUCCAUAUUUUUAUGUGCUAAACCCACGCCCUCUAAGUGGGUCCGGGCCCCCGGACCUCGAUUGCCUAAAAUAAUUCCAAGCGAUCAAAUAUGACCUAAGGAACCAUAGUCACCGCCCCUCCAUGGCCGUUCCUCGUUGUUUUGCAUUUUAUUGCCAAAAAACUAGAAUUUCGCCUGAUUCCUAUAUAUUCGUGUGCUAUAGCCCACGCCUUCCGAGUGGGAUCGGGCCCCCAUACCCCGGUUGCCUAAACUUUUUCCGAGCCACCAAAUAAAACCUAAGGAAC